Non-coding RNA from Mycena leptocephala, 86 nucleotides. Lineage: Eukaryota; Fungi; Basidiomycota; Agaricomycetes; Agaricales; Mycenaceae. The record is from the annotation of a GenBank genome assembly.
UCGGACGCGGUGCGUGGUGCACACCCGCCCUCGAUCAACAUUUGGCAAGCAAGCGGGAAGUCUGGGUUCGAUUCCCAGCGUCCGGG